This 71-nucleotide transfer RNA is filed under the name Candidatus Blochmannia vicinus (nom. nud.). RNAcentral describes it as "tRNA-Cys". It matches the Rfam family "tRNA". From Rfam's summary of the family: Transfer RNA (tRNA) molecules are approximately 80 nucleotides in length. The record is from RNAcentral. Lineage: Bacteria; Pseudomonadati; Pseudomonadota; Gammaproteobacteria; Enterobacterales; Enterobacteriaceae.
AGCGCGUUGGCAGAGUGGUUAUGCAGCGGAUUGCAAAUCCGUGUAACUCGGUUCAAUCCCGAGACGCGCUU